GACAGAGGCCCCGAGCGUUAAUCGGAAUCACUGGGCUUAAAGGGUGCGUAGGCGGACUUGUAAGUGUCGUGUGAAAGCCCACCGCUCAACGGUGGAACCGCACGGCAAACUGCGAGUCUAGAGGAACUCAGAGGCCGGCAGAACGAUUGGUGGAGCGGUGGAAUGUGUAGAUAUCAAUCGGAAUGCCGAAGGUGAAGACCGCCGGCUGGGGGUUUCCUGACGCUGAGGCACGAAAGCGUGGGGAGCAAACAGGAUUAGAUACCCUGGUAGUCCACGCCCUAAACGAUGUGCGCUUGGUUACGGCGGCUCUGACGUCGUCGGGACCGGAGAGAAAUUGUGAAGCGCACCGCCUGGGGAGUACGGUCGCAAGGCUA
RNAcentral lists this ribosomal RNA (374 nucleotides) under uncultured bacterium. Its description in RNAcentral is "bacterial SSU rRNA". It matches the Rfam family "Bacterial small subunit ribosomal RNA", at positions 524 to 896 of the family's 1533-position model. The record is from RNAcentral.